CUGCGCGAAUCUGCCGGGACCAUCCGGUAAGGCUAAAUACUCCCGUGAGACCGAUAGCGAACGAGUACUGUGAAGGAAAGGUGAAAAGAACCCCGAGCAGGGGAGUGAAAUAGUUCCUGAAACCAUACGCCUACAAGCGGUCGGAGCAUCUUACGAUGUGACGGCGUGCCUUUUGCAUAAUGAUCCUACGAGUUACCGUCACUGGCGAGGUUGAGUGUCACGAGACACGUAGCCGCAGUGAAAGCGAGCCUGAAUAGGGCGCAUAGUCAGUGGGGGUAGACGCGAAACCAAGUGAUCUACACUUGGCCAGGAUGAAGUCCCGGUAACACGGGAUGGAGGUCCGCACCAAUAAGCGUUGAAAAGCUUCUGGAUGAGCCGAGUGUAGGAGUGAAAGGCCAAUCAAACUUGGAGAUAGCUCGUACUCCCCGAAAGGCAUUUAGGUGCCGCGUCGGAUGGUCACCGUGAGAGGUAGAGCGACCGAUAGGACAAGAGGGCUUCACCGCCUAUCGAGUCCUGACGAACUCCGAAUGCUCACGGUCUGCAGUCCGGCAGUAAGGGGGCGGGUGCUAAGGUCCGUCCCCGAGAGGAGAAGAAUCCAGACCGCCGUCUAAGGUCCCGGAGUUCUGCCUGAGUUAGUCUAACGAAGUCUGGUCCCUAUGACAGCUAGGAUGUUGGCUUGGAAGCAGCCAUUCAUUCAAAGAGUGCGUAACAGCUCACUAGUCGAGGGUCCGGGCAUGGAUAAUAAUCGGGUAUAAGGCAGACACCGAAGGCGCGGGAUAGCAUUUAAGAAAGUAUCGGUAGGGGAGCAUACUCACAGCGUGGAAUGGUGUACGUAAGUUAUCCUGGAGCGGUGAGUAAAGCAAAUGUAGGAAUAAGUAACGAUAAGGAGGGUUAGAUUCCCUCCCGCUGUAAGACCAAGGUUUCCCGGGCAAUGCCAAUCAGCCCGGGGUCAGUCGGGUCCUAAGUCUAAGCCGAACGGCGAUGGCGAUGGCAGAGACGGUUAAUAUUCCGUCACUGCCGCAUGGGGCGACGUGGAGACGGAGCAGUGAAACCACCGCGGGGCGACGGAAGUCCCCGUUGAAGAGUGUAGGUGUUGAGGAUGGCAGGCAAAUCCACCGUCCGAGCUGAACUUGAUAGUAUGGAGUCUUCUUCGGAAGAAUCCAAUAGUGUGGGUAAUCAUACUCCCGAGAAAAUCCGCUAAGCUUAACCCAUGCGGCACCCGUACCGCAAACGGACACACGUGGUCGGGUAGAACAUACUAAGGCGUUGAGAGAUUCAUGGUUAAGGAACUAGGCAAAUUGACCCUGUAACUUCGGGAUAAAGGGUCCUCGUGAUGAGCGAGGCGCAGAGAAUAGGUCCAGGCAACUGUUUAACAAAAACACAGGGCUGUGCAAACUCGAAAGAUGACGUAUACAGCCUGACACCUGCCCGGUGCCGGAAGGUUAAGAGGAGAUGUCACUCGCAAGAGGAAGCAUUGAAUUGAAGCCCCGGUAAACGGCGGCCGUAACUAUAACGGUCCUAAGGUAGCGAAAUUCCUUGUCGGGUAAGUUCCGACCUGCACGAAUGGUGUAAUGAUCUGGACGCUGUCUCAACCGUGAGCUCAGUGAAAUUGUAGUAUCGGUGAAGAUGCCGAUUACCCGCGAUGGGACGAAAAGACCCCGUGAACCUUUACUACAGCUUAGCAUUGACCUUGGUCAUCCGAUGUGUAGGAUAGGCCGGAGGCUUCGAAGCGGGAGCGCCAGCUUUCGUGGAGCCAUCCUUGAAAUACGGCCCUUUGGCUGUCUGAGGUCUAACGCGUGAUACGCGGACACUGCUUGGUGGGUAGUUUGACUGGGGUGGUCGCCUCCAAAAGCGUAACGGAGGCUUCCAAAGGUGCCCUCGGGUCGAUUGGUAACCGACCUCAAAGAGUGCAAUGGCAUAAGGGCGCUUGACUGGGAGGCAGACAUGCCGAGCAGGCAGGAAACUGGGGCAUAGUGAUCCGGCGGAUGUGUAUGGAAACUCCGUCGCUCAAAGGAUAAAAGGUACUCCGGGGAUAACAGGCUGAUCCCCCCCAAGAGCUCAUAUCGACGGGGUGGUUUGGCACCUCGAUGUCGGCUCGUCACAUCCUGGGGCUGGAGAAGGUCCCA
This 2126-nucleotide ribosomal RNA is filed under the name human gut metagenome. Its description in RNAcentral is "bacterial LSU rRNA". It matches the Rfam family "Bacterial large subunit ribosomal RNA", at positions 434 to 2567 of the family's 2925-position model. The record is from RNAcentral.